Molecule: ribosomal RNA, 485 nt
Filed under: uncultured bacterium
Lineage: Bacteria
Description: partial 16S ribosomal RNA
Rfam family: Bacterial small subunit ribosomal RNA
Source: RNAcentral
AUUGAACGCUGGCGGCAGGCUUAACACAUGCAAGUCGAGCGGGGAAAGGUAGCUUGCUACCUGACCUAGCGGCGGACGGGUGAGUAAUGCUUAGGAAUCUGCCUAUUAGUGGGGGACAACAUCUCGAAAGGGAUGCUAAUACCGCAUACGUCCUACGGGAGAAAGCAGGGGACCUUCGGGCCUUGCGCUAAUAGAUGAGCCUAAGUCGGAUUAGCUAGUUGGUGGGGUAAAGGCCUACCAAGGCGACGAUCUGUAGCGGGUCUGAGAGGAUGAUCCGCCACACUGGGACUGAGACACGGCCCAGACUCCUACGGGAGGCAGCAGUGGGGAAUAUUGGACAAUGGGGGGAACCCUGAUCCAGCCAUGCCGCGUGUGUGAAGAAGGCCUUUGGGUUGUAAAGCACUUUAAGCGAGGAGGAGGCUACCGAGAUUAAUACUCUUGGAUAGUGGACGUUACUCGCAGAAUAAGCACCGGCUAACUCUGUG